RNAcentral lists this ribosomal RNA (232 nucleotides) under uncultured bacterium. RNAcentral describes it as "partial 16S ribosomal RNA". It matches the Rfam family "Bacterial small subunit ribosomal RNA", at positions 15 to 229 of the family's 1533-position model. The record is from RNAcentral.
GAUCAUGGCUCAGGAUGAACGCUAGCGACAGGCUUAACACAUGCAAGUCGAACGGAGUUUACAGGCAGAAGUUUUCGGAUGGAAGCUUGUAAACUUAGUGGCGGACGGGUGAGUAACACGUGAGCAACCUGCCUAUCAGAGGGGGAUAACGAUUGGAAACGAUCGCUAAUACCGCAUGACAUAGCGGAACCGCAUGGUUCUGUUAUCAAAGAUUUUAUCGCUGAUAGAUGGG